This 468-nucleotide ribosomal RNA is filed under the name uncultured bacterium. RNAcentral's name for it is "partial 16S ribosomal RNA". It matches the Rfam family "Bacterial small subunit ribosomal RNA", at positions 28 to 507 of the family's 1533-position model. The record is from RNAcentral.
GACGAACGCUGGCGGCGUGCCUAACACAUGCAAGUCGAACGGAAAGGCCCUGCUUUUGCGGGGUGCUCGUUUGGCGAACGGGUGAGUAACACGCGAGUAUCCCGUCCCUGUCUUUGGGAUAACUUUAGGAAACUGGGGCUAAUACCGGAUAGGAGCUCCUGCUGCACGGUGGGGGUUGGAAAGUUUCGGCGGUUGGGGAUGGACUCGCGGCUUAUCAGCUUGUUGGUGAGGUAGUGGCUUACCAAGGCUUUGACGGGUAGCCGGCCUGAGAGGGUGACCGGCCACAAUGGGACUGAGGUACGGACCAGACUGGUACGGGAGGCAGCAGUGGGGAAUAUUACACAGUGGGCGGGCGCCUGAUGCGGCAGCGCCGCGUGCGGAAUGACGGCCUUCGGGUUGUAAACCGCUUUCGCCGGUGACGAGGCGUGAGUGACGGUAAUGGGUAAAGAAGCACCGGCUAACUACGUG